Molecule: RNA transcript, 881 nt
Organism: Selaginella moellendorffii
Lineage: Eukaryota; Viridiplantae; Streptophyta; Lycopodiopsida; Selaginellales; Selaginellaceae
Gene name: UDP-3-O-acyl-N-acetylglucosamine deacetylase-like
Exons: 5
Source: RefSeq, a predicted model, not a curated record
AAAAUAAUGCUAGCGCCUUCUUCCAGGGCGAGGGCGAGGGCGCUGGCGCUGGCGACGCGAGCUCUGGCUCCUCCCUGCCUGCGCGAAGAGCCAGCGUUCCAGACCUCGAUCGUGACCCCGGUGACGCGAUCCGGCAUUGGAUUACACACUGGCAAGGAGACGCGCGUGACGAUCUUCCCUGCUCGAGCCGGCGCUGGGAGAUUCUUCACGCUCCGGGAAGAUCCAAGGGACUACACGAUUCCAGCGUCGGCAGAAUUUGUGGUGCCGGAGGCUUGCAAGCUGAGUACUCGCGUGGGGAGGAUACGCACGGUGGAGCAUGUUCUAGCGGCCUUGGAGGGCUUGUGCGUGGACAACUGCCGGAUCCAUCUGGAAGGGAAUGACGAGGUGCCUUUGCUGGAUGGAUCGGCGUUGCCGUGGGUGGAAGCAAUCGAUCGCGCUGGGAUCUCUGCUGCCAAAGACGAGGAUGGGAGUGCUGUUGCUAGAAGAAAGAGGUUCAAGCUUAAGUUUCCAGUCCAUGUCGGGAACCCGGAAUCGGACUCGUUUGUAGCGGCUUUCCCAGCUUCGACCUCCAUGCUUACGUACUGUAUCGAUUUUCGCGAGCAUCCUGCGAUUGGAACUCAGUGCUUCACUUACUUUCCGGAUUCUUGCUCCUUUCGCGAAGAGGUUGCUCCGGCUCGGACCUUCGGUUUAUAUGAGCAGGUCAGAUUGAAAUGCUGAGAGGAGCAAAGCUGAUCCAAGGAGGAAGUCUAGAGAACGCUUUGAUCUGCAAAAAAGUAACUGGCUGGGUGAAUCCGCCGCUUCGAUUCCGGGACGAGCCUUGCCGACACAAGAUGCUCGACCUCUUGGGCGAUAUCUCGUUGUGCUCUCGAGGUGGCCAUCCC